This 20-nucleotide non-coding RNA is filed under the name Arabidopsis thaliana (thale cress). Lineage: Eukaryota; Viridiplantae; Streptophyta; Magnoliopsida; Brassicales; Brassicaceae. RNAcentral also lists the same sequence under 1 other name. The record is from RNAcentral.
CCGUCGUGAGACAGGUUAGU